GAUAUGGGUUUUGAGCCUCAGAUUAGAAAGAUAGUAGAACAAAUGGACAUGCCUCCACCUGGAAGGAGACAGACAAUGCUGUUUAGUGCCACUUUUCCAAAAGAAAUACAGAGACUCGCUUCUGAUUUUCUUUCAAAUUACAUUUUCUUGGCUGUUGGAAGGGUUGGUUCUAGUACUGAUUUAAUUAUUCAAAGAGUUGAAUAUGUUCAUGAGACUGACAAGAGAAGCCAUCUCAUGGACCUUCUUCAUGCACA
Molecule: unclassified non-coding RNA, 254 nt
Filed under: Hevea brasiliensis (rubber tree)
Lineage: Eukaryota; Viridiplantae; Streptophyta; Magnoliopsida; Malpighiales; Euphorbiaceae
Source: RNAcentral